RNAcentral lists this ribosomal RNA (403 nucleotides) under Verrucomicrobiota bacterium. RNAcentral describes it as "Verrucomicrobia bacterium partial 16S ribosomal RNA". It matches the Rfam family "Bacterial small subunit ribosomal RNA", at positions 355 to 776 of the family's 1533-position model. The record is from RNAcentral. Lineage: Bacteria; Pseudomonadati; Verrucomicrobiota.
UGGGGAAUAUUGCACAAUGGGCGCAAGCCUGAUGCAGCAACGCCGCGUGAACGAUGAAGGUCUUCGGAUCGUAAAGUUCUGUUGCAGGGGAAGAUAAUGACGGUACCCUGUGAGGAAGCCCCGGCUAACUACGUGCCAGCAGCCGCGGUAAUACGUAGGGGGCUAGCGUUAUCCGGAUUUACUGGGCGUAAAGGGUGCGUAGGUGGUCUUUCAAGUCGGUGGUUAAAGGCUACGGCUCAACCGUAGUUAGCCUCCGAAACUGGAAGACUUGAGUGCAGGAGAGGAAAGUGGAAUUCCCAGUGUAGCGGUGAAAUGCGUAGAUAUUAAAAAGAAUACCGGUGGCGAAGGCGACUUACUGGGCCCAUUCUGACGCUGAGGAACGAAAGCGUGGGUAGCAAACAGG